RNAcentral lists this long non-coding RNA (3098 nucleotides) under Phocoena sinus (vaquita). RNAcentral describes it as "lncRNA (ENSPSNG00000011468.1)". Lineage: Eukaryota; Metazoa; Chordata; Mammalia; Artiodactyla; Phocoenidae. The record is from RNAcentral.
AGCGCGCAGCUGAUACCAGGGGACUGGGCUGCGGCGGUUAGUCCUCUCCCGGCCGCCGUCGCCUCCGACAUAUUGCCCGCUGGAGCUGCGGCGGCGAAGCGGAGAGCGCCGGGGGGAGGAGAUGGGAGGACGAAGAGGUCCCAACAGGACAUCCUACUGUCGAAAUCCACUCUGUGAGCCAGGAUCCUCUGGGGGCUCAGGUGGGGGCCACACUUCCAGCGCAUCAGUCACCAGUGUCCGUUCCCGCACCAGGAGCAGUUCUGGGACGGGCCUCUCCAGCCCCCCCACUGGCCACCCAGACGGUCGUGCCCCCUGCAGCACUGCAAGAUCCCCGAGCUGCCAGUCCAGGCCAGCAUUCUGUUUGAGUUGCAGCUCUUCUUCUGCCAGCUCAUAGCCCUCUUCGUCCACUACAUCAACAUCUACAAGACAGUGUGGUGGUAUCCGCCCUCCCACCCGCCCUCCCACACCUCCCUGGUUUGGGAUGUACAUUCCGUUUCCUGCAGCUGAACUGUGACCUCCGCAAGACAAACCUCUUCAGCCACAUGGCCUCCAUGGGUCCCCGGGAGGCGGUCAAGUGGCCUGGCACGGAGCCGGGACUACCUGCUGACACUUGCGGGAGACGUGGAAGCAGCACACGCGGCAGCUGUACGGCCCGGACGCCAUGCCCACCCACGCCUGCUGCCUGUCGCCCAGCCUCAUCCGCAGUGAGGUGGAGUUUCCUCAAGAUGGACUUCAACUGGCGCAUGAAGGAGGUGCUGGUCAGCUCAUGCUGAGCGCCUAUUUACGUGGCCUUUGUGCCUGUUUGGUUCGUGAAGAACACACAUUACUAUGACAAGCGCUGGUCCCUGCGAGCUCUUCCUGCUGUGUCCAUCAGCACCUCGGUGAUCCUCAUGCAGCACUGCUGCCUGCCAGCUACUGCGACCUGCUGCAUAAGGCCGCUGCCCCACCUGGGCUGCUUGGCAGAAGGUUUGACCCAGCACUGUGCUCCAAUGUACUGCAGCACCCGUGGACUGAAGAGUGCAUGUGGCCACAGGGCGUGCUGGUGAAGCACAGCAAGAACGUCUACAAAGCAGUGGGCCACUACAACGUGGCCAUCCCCUCCGAUGUCUCCCACUUCCGGUGUCCACGUGAGUCUCCUCCCCUGGGAAGGAGGGGUGGGGCCUGAUCUAGAGGGCAGGAGGAUCAGCUGGGCAGGAAGGUGAUGUCAUAGCAAGAGGCGGCCUAUUUCGAUAUUCCCAAAUCCAAAAGAAGACAAUGCACAUGUGCAGCCCAAGGACGGCCAUACAAAUGAUCCCUUCAUAACUGUAGCUCACUUGGUACCAGAUCUUUGAAAACAUUGGGUGGAGGUAGAAAAGAUGAUACAACAAAAGGAGGGGUUGUUGGUGGUGAAAAUAAUUACACUCGUCAUUCCUUACUGUGUGCUAGGCACUGUGGUAAACACUUUCCAUGCACCCUCCCAUUCAGUCUUCACCAGAACCUUGUGUAUGAAAGAAAUACCAGGGCUGUCCUGGUUUUCAGGUACUGAAAUCAGCUUAGAGAGUUUAACUUGUUCCAAGGGUGCCUUACUGGGAAACUUGGGAACUAAUGGUAAUGACUCAUGGACCCAGUACAAUGGAAAGGGCUGCUCAAAAUCAUCUGGGCUGGUGGUUUCCAUUUUAUUUACUUAUUUUACUGUUAAAAUCCUUUUCUCCAACUCAGUCAAACUAAAGUUCAGUAUAUAGGACUUCAUGGCGCUGCUCUGUUUGAAAGGGUUGGAACUCCCCUCACUUCCUGCUGACCACUGUGGUAGCCCCUAAAAGACCUCCUGGAACCUGGGCCUCUGAGGAACACAGUUUGAGAAAUCAUUGAUCUGGGCUAACCUCUUCUUUUCCCAGUAGAGAAACCUGAGGUUCAGACAGGGAAGGGACUUGCCCAAGGUCCUGCAGCCUGUCAGGUGCAGAGCUGAGCCUGGCGUGCUGGUCUCUCGGACUCCUGUAUCCUGGCACUUCUCCUGCCAUCCUAUAAUCAGCUCUUGAGGUUUAGGUACCUUGGCCCCUGCAGAAUCAAGAUCCCUGGACACGAUCAUUCUUUUAAACUGACCAGAAAAAUUUUCUUAGUCUCUACACUCUACCUUGCCCUGUAGACACCAGGUAAGAGUGAUGUGUCUCCGUGUCCCCUGGAAGCUUCCGGCCUAGCGGGGGAUGCUACACGUGAAAUAGUAAAUGACUCAGGCUGUAGAGUCUAUAAUAACUUUCCAUGCCUCUGUCAUAAGAUUCUACUUUGUUCAGGCCUGACAGUACCCAGGAAGUCACAUAUAAUAAGGUGUUGGUUUUCGACCAGCAAAAGUUUGAGAGAACAAGUAGGACUUCUCAAGAAAGGCUUCUGGGAGGAGGUGGAAGUUGAUCCGGAUCUUUUUUUUGUUUUUUUUUGAUCCGGAUCUUAAACAGCUUCUGUGGGAAGCAGUAGUCUUGACAGAAGGAAAACCACAAACAAAGGCAGAGAGAUGGCAAGGUCCACGCCCAGCCCUAUGAAGUCUUCCUCCCCACCCAAGUCUGCAUGGGGCCCGAGAGCUUGACCCCUUCACUGGCCUACCCAGAACCCCCUUCCAAGAGGCAGGUUUCUGGAGCCCACUUUCCAGUCCAUGCCUACUCUUUCCUGGGCAGUUCUUUUUCAGCAAACCCCUGCGGAUCCUCAACAUCCUUUUGCUGCUGGAGGGCGCUGUCAUCGUCUACCAGCUGUACUCCUUAAUGUCCUCUGAUAAGUGGCACCAGACCAUCUCACUGGCGCUCAUCCUCUUCAGCAACUACUACGCCUUCUUCAAGCUGCUGCGAGACCGCCUGGUAUUGGGCAAGGCCUACUCGUACUCGGUCAACCCCCAGAGGGACCUAGACCACCGGUUCUCCUGAGCCCCAGGGCGACCCAGGGACAGCAUCCAGGCUUCAGCCAGGGGCUCCCUGGGAAGCGGCUGUUGGGGAGGGAUGGGUGGGGGGCAAAAAAAAAAAAAAAAAAAAAAAGACAAAAAAAAUCCACCAGAGCUUUGUAUUUUUGUUACAUACUGUUUUUCUUUGAUAAUUGAUGUGAUUAUGAGGAGAAAAAAAAAGUCCUAUUUUUAUACUCCC